AGUUUUGAGCAGUGGCAGUGUCGUCGCCAGUGAGAUUUAUCUGAGACAUAAUUAUUGCUAAUUGGAAACUUUGCCCUUUUCUUUUUGGUUUUGUUGGGGAGCCACGCCUGGC
RNAcentral lists this small nuclear RNA (112 nucleotides) under Sorex araneus (European shrew). RNAcentral describes it as "U4 spliceosomal RNA (ENSSARG00000018810.1)". It matches the Rfam family "U4 spliceosomal RNA". Rfam says of the family: U4 small nuclear RNA (U4 snRNA) is a component of the major U2-dependent spliceosome. The structure of U4 snRNA from yeast and human has been reported. Lineage: Eukaryota; Metazoa; Chordata; Mammalia; Eulipotyphla; Soricidae. The record is from RNAcentral.